AUUGAACGCUGGCGGCAUGCCUUACACAUGCAAGUCGAACGGCAGCAUGAUCUAGCUUGCUAGAUUGAUGGCGAGUGGCGAACGGGUGAGUAAUACAUCGGAACGUGCCCUGUAGUGGGGGAUAACUAGUCGAAAGAUUAGCUAAUACCGCAUACGACCUGAGGGUGAAAGUGGGGGACCGCAAGGCCUCAUGCUAUAGGAGCGGCCGAUGUCUGAUUAGCUAGUUGGUGAGGUAAAGGCUCACCAAGGCGACGAUCAGUAGCUGGUCUGAGAGGACGAUCCGCCACACUGGGACUGAGAAACGGCCCAGACUCCUACGGGAGGCAGCAGUGGGGAAUUUUGGACAAUGGGCGAAAGCCUGAUCCAGCAAUGCCGCGUGUGUGAAGAAGGCCUUCGGGUUGUAAAGCACUUUUGUCCGGAAAGAAAUGGCUCUGGUUAAUACCUGGGGUCGAUGACGGUACCGGAAGAAUAAGGACCGGCUAACUACGUG
This 490-nucleotide ribosomal RNA is filed under the name uncultured bacterium. RNAcentral describes it as "partial 16S ribosomal RNA". It matches the Rfam family "Bacterial small subunit ribosomal RNA", at positions 30 to 507 of the family's 1533-position model. The record is from RNAcentral.